RNAcentral lists this ribosomal RNA (253 nucleotides) under uncultured bacterium. RNAcentral describes it as "partial 16S ribosomal RNA". It matches the Rfam family "Bacterial small subunit ribosomal RNA", at positions 524 to 776 of the family's 1533-position model. The record is from RNAcentral.
UACAGAGGUCUCAACCGUUGUUCGGAUUCAUUGGGCGUAAAGAGCUCGUAGGCGGCUCAUUGCGUCAACCGUGAAAACCAGCAGCUCAACUGUUGGCUUGCGGUUGAUACGGGUGGGCUGGAGUUCGGUAGGGGAGACUGGAAUUCCUGGUGUAGCGGUGAAAUGCGCAGAUAUCAGGAGGAACACCGGUGGCGAAGGCGGGUCUCUGGGCCGAUACUGACGCUGAGGAGCGAAAGCGUGGGGAGCGAACAGG